RNAcentral lists this ribosomal RNA (446 nucleotides) under uncultured bacterium. RNAcentral describes it as "SSU rRNA". It matches the Rfam family "Bacterial small subunit ribosomal RNA", at positions 26 to 518 of the family's 1533-position model. The record is from RNAcentral.
AGAGCGAACGCUGGCGGCAGGCUUAACACAUGCAAGUCGAGCGGGCGUAGCAAUACGUCAGCGGCAGACGGGUGAGUAACGCGUGGGAACGUACCUUUUGGUUCGGAACAACACAGGGAAACUUGUGCUAAUACCGGAUAAGCCCUUACGGGGAAAGAUUUAUCGCCGAAAGAUCGGCCCGCGUCUGAUUAGCUAGUUGGUGAGGUAACGGCUCACCAAGGCGACGAUCAGUAGCUGGUCUGAGAGGAUGAUCAGCCACAUUGGGACUGAGACACGGCCCAAACUCCUACGGGAGGCAGCAGUGGGGAAUAUUGGACAAUGGGCGCAAGCCUGAUCCAGCCAUGCCGCGUGAGUGAUGAAGGCCCUAGGGUUGUAAAGCUCUUUUGUGCGGAAGAUAAUGACGGUACCGCAAGAAUAAGCCCGGCUAACUUCGUGCCAGCAGCCGC